Molecule: long non-coding RNA, 1200 nt
Filed under: Gouania willdenowi (blunt-snouted clingfish)
Lineage: Eukaryota; Metazoa; Chordata; Actinopteri; Blenniiformes; Gobiesocidae
Description: lncRNA (ENSGWIG00000017981.1)
Source: RNAcentral
CAUCUGACAGCUCCUGUCAUUGGUUUCCAACGUGCGGCCCGGCCUCCGUUGACGCCUCUCCCUGUCAUUAAUGGCCUGUUUUUCUUUUUUCCAUCACUGCACCUGUUCUUGACUGUCAGACUAACACUGGUCCGUCCCCACAGAGCGACAAACGGCUCCUGGAGGCUCUUCAGGGACCUGAAGGUCAGAGCAGAGCAGGAAUGGAAGAAAGCUACGAGACUUUUGAGGAGGACCUGUGGCCCCCAAAAACUGAUCCUCUACAGAAGCCUGUUAGACCCACACGUAGACCAGAAAUGUUGAGCACAAGGAAAGUCCCAGAGGCUCCGCCUCCACAGCAACUGAGAGCAGAACCCAAGACGUUCCCCAGAGAACCCAGCCUCCCUCAAACAGCUUCCUUACAGAAAGCCUUACCCAUCCAGAACCAGAGCCCUGUUGAGAAGCCUUGGGAGAACGUGACUUUGAACCGCUGUCUGCUGGUGGCCAUCACCAUCCUGGUUCUAACCUCAGGCUUUCAGAGACUCAACGAAAACUUCCAUGGGCGAGAGGAUGUGGAGGAUGAAGAGUCUGGACUGAGAGUGAGACGCUCUGGCUCUUUACGACACAGAGGACACAUGAUGGAGCCACAGACUUCUCUCUUGGACCUGGUAUUCAUGUGGCUGCCAGACUUCAACGAUGAUGAUGAUGAUGAUGAAAAUGAGGAGGAGGAUGAAGAUGGAGAGGUGAAAAGAGGAAAAUCCAAAAGAGGCGAGAAAAGCUGGAGCAGCCUGAGAAACAAGCCUCCGCCUGCCAAAAAACUCAUGAAGAAAAAAGACGGGAAACUAAAGGGAAGGAGAGACGAGAAGGAGACGACAGGAAGAGUUUCAGAGGAAGGUGAUGAUGAGGAUGACCAAGAUGUUCCUCAGAGAACUGUCCAAUCAGAGAAGAAGAAGGAAAAGAAAAAGACUCAGAAAGAAUGAAUUGAUUUUUGGAUUUUUUUUUUUUUCUUCUCUUCUUUAGGAAAACACUCAACAAUUCAACAAAAACAAGUGAUUUGGAUCAUCUGUUAAUUCACAGGCAGUUACUGUGUUUCCAUUUCUAUUGGACAUGUGACUGUUUGUCUAAAAUUAUGUUUAAACAAACUUAGUUUAACGGGAAAAUCAUCCAAUCAGAACAAAUGUCAGAUCAAUGUGGAAUAAAGUAUUUUCCUGUGUCGAGGCUUCA